GGCACACUGGUGCAGUGGUUAGCACUGUUGCCUCACAGUAAGGUUCUGGGUUUGAUCCCCAGACCUGGGCCU
Molecule: non-coding RNA, 72 nt
Organism: Caranx melampygus (bluefin trevally)
Lineage: Eukaryota; Metazoa; Chordata; Actinopteri; Carangiformes; Carangidae
Source: the annotation of a GenBank genome assembly